This 724-nucleotide ribosomal RNA is filed under the name uncultured marine eukaryote. RNAcentral describes it as "bacterial SSU rRNA". It matches the Rfam family "Eukaryotic small subunit ribosomal RNA", at positions 599 to 1313 of the family's 1831-position model. The record is from RNAcentral.
GUAUAUUAAUGUUGUUGCAGUUAAAAAGCUCGUAGUCGAAUUUCUGGGACUUAAACUUAGUCAGUGGUUGCUUUAUGUAGCCGCUUGUACAUUGUUUCUAAGUCCCAUCUUAGUAGUGAUUGUACGUGGUAUUAAAUUAUCGUGUGCAGGAGCUGCUUCGUUUACUAUGAAGAAAUCAGCGCGUUCAAAGCAUACACUUAUUUGUAUUGAAUACUCCAGCAUGGAAUAAAAAGAUAGGACUUUUGGUGCUAUUUUAUUGGUUUGCACACCAAGUAAUGAUUAAUAGGGAUAGUUGGGGGUAUUCAUAUUUGAUUGUCAGAGGUGAAAUUCUUGGAUUUCUGAAAGAUGAACUUAUGCGAAAGCAUUUACCAAGGAUGUUUUCAUUGAUCAAGAACGAAAGUUAGGGGAUCGAAGAGGAUUAGAUACCCUCGUAGUCUUAACCAUAAACUAUGCCGACUCGGGAUCAGUGGUUGUUUGUUUAACGUCUCCAUUGGCACCGUAUGAGAAAUCAAAGUCUUUGGGUUCCGGGGGGAGUAUGGUCGCAAGGCUGAAACUUAAAGGAAUUGACGGAAGGGCACCACCAGGAGUGGAGCCUGCGGCUUAAUUUGACUCAACACGGGGAAACUUACCAGGUCCGGACAUAGUAAGGAUUGACAGAUUGACAGCUCUUUCUUGAUUCAAUGGGUGGUGGUGCAUGGCCGUUCUUAGUUGGUGGAGUGAUUUG